UACGGGGGGGGCAAGCGUUGUUCGGAAUUACUGGGCGUAAAGGGCUCGUAGGCGGCCAACUAAGUCAGACGUGAAAUCCCUCGGCUUAACCGGGGAACUGCAUCUGAUACUGGAUGGCUUGAGUUCGGGAGAGGGAUGCGGAAUUCCAGGUGUAGCGGUGAAAUGCGCAGAUAUCAGGAGGAACACCGGUGGCGAAGGCGGAUCUCUGGGCCUUACCUGACGCUCAGGUGCGAAAGCUAGGGGAGCGAACAGG
This 253-nucleotide ribosomal RNA is filed under the name uncultured bacterium. Its description in RNAcentral is "partial 16S ribosomal RNA". It matches the Rfam family "Bacterial small subunit ribosomal RNA", at positions 524 to 776 of the family's 1533-position model. The record is from RNAcentral.